UUCAUACUCCCUCCGUCCAAAAUUAAUUGUCGCAGAAAUGGAUGUGUAUACAUAUAUUUUAGUUUUAGAUACAUCCAUUUUUAACCAUUUUUACGACAACUAAUUUGGGACGGAGGGUGUAUGCA
This is a non-coding RNA of Triticum aestivum (bread wheat), 125 nucleotides long. Lineage: Eukaryota; Viridiplantae; Streptophyta; Magnoliopsida; Poales; Poaceae. The record is from Rfam.